Long non-coding RNA from Papilio polytes (common Mormon), 543 nucleotides. RefSeq lists it as uncharacterized. The transcript has 3 exons. The record is from RefSeq and is a predicted model, not a curated record. Lineage: Eukaryota; Metazoa; Arthropoda; Insecta; Lepidoptera; Papilionidae.
GAGUCCACGUUCAGUAAUCAAUAUGAGAACAUUGGCGGCCAUCUUGAUUUGCUUGUUGUUCGCGUCGUCCUUUUCCUUGCCACAGACAAGAGAGGAAGCGCUCACAAAUUCAAACAUGGAGGCAAAGCGGAAUAUAGUAACGAAAUCCGUAUUAAGUUUAUUGACAUCUACAAAAUGUCCAAACGGAACUAUCUUAUCUGUGACAGGAUGUUCGCCAAAUUCAACUCCUGUUAUAUACAGACAAAGACCAGGAUAAUAAAGAUUAAAAAGAAGACAAAAAGUGUCUGUCUGUCCGCGUUUGUUCCGUGUAGUCUCCGAAACGGCUUACAGAUGACAGAUUAAAAAGCGGCCGCCACCGCUUCGAUGAAAUGACAAGAAGUUGUGUAAAUGCCAUCUAGUGGCGAUAUAAGCAAACAGAUUUCGACCGGAGUUUUACUGGAGAGUAGCUGACAUAGACGGGCAUAUUACAGACUACUUUUUAUCUUAAUAUUGCGUGGACGAAGUCGCAGGCAACAGCUACUUAUUAAAAAAAAACUUCAUUCA